UACGUAGGGACCAAGCGUUGUUCGGAUUUACUGGGCGUAAAGGGCGCGUAGGCGGCAAUUCAAGUCAGCUGUGAAAUCUCCGGGCUUAACUCGGAACGGUCAGCUGAUACUGCUUUGCUAGAGUGCAGAAGGGGCAAUCGGAAUUCUUGGUGUAGCGGUGAAAUGCGUAGAUAUCAAGAGGAACACCUGAGGUGAAGACGGGUUGCUGGGCUGACACUGACGCUGAGGCGCGAAAGCUAGGGGAGCGAACGGG
Molecule: ribosomal RNA, 253 nt
Filed under: uncultured bacterium
Lineage: Bacteria
Description: partial 16S ribosomal RNA
Rfam family: Bacterial small subunit ribosomal RNA
Source: RNAcentral